GCUGGUUCAGAGUAACUGAAAAGCCUAUACCAGAAAAUAUGCCCCUACUAAAUGCAUUAUCAACAACAUCAAUGAUUUGAACAAUCAUGUUUCCUUCAACACUACAAGGAACUGGUGAAAAUUGGACAAUGAUGAAGACAUCUGUGUCACUUAAUAUCUAAAUUAUGAAGGAGAUAGUAGAUGAGUUUGACUGGGAAAUGGACGAUUACGAGAUUUUGCUGAUCAGAAAGUUCAAUAAGGUGGCCUGCCAGAGGAUGAGAAAGAAAAAUUCAAGGAAUUCCUGAAGGAGAAGGUUAGAGAAAGGAAGAGAGAACUGAAACAGGCUAAAGAAGCCAGGAGGAAAGCUAUUGAUGAUAUGGAUCCUAAGGGGAAAGGGUAAACCAAAAUCAAAAUCAAAUCCAAAGGAUACAUGUUCAUGGUUUGAUGGCGGCAGAAAAGCCAUGAUCCAACUAGCUGGAGAACUUUUCUGGAAAAUGGGUGAAGACCUGGAUAGCAUCGCAAAAGAUUAUACAACUUCUUUUCAUAAGUGGCAUGUCUGUUAGUUUUAUUUACCACAAUGCCCACCACCUUUAAGCCCAGUUAAACAGGUGAAGCAGGGCAGAACAAGAAGAGGCAGGUUUCAAUCUCGAAGUGGACAGCUCUUCGCUGUGGCACUUUUUGAUUCGUGAUGGUCUUGGAUGAAAAUCUCGGGCUGAGAAGAAUGAACGAUAUAUGCAAAAGCUCACAAGGAGCAGGCUGAGAGAUAGAAUUGGAGACACUUUAGACUUUGAAAUUAAGAGGUGGUCUAAUGGAAAACAGGGCAACUUGCGCGCUUUGUUAUUAACUUUACAAUAUGUGAGUUGAUGAUACUUUUGGUACUGGAGAAUGAAGCUUAACUGCAUGUGGUUUCUACCCAUGGCUCUGCUGCUGCGCUCUUGUAGAUUCGUCCGAGUGACAAGAAGGUAGAUUACCAAAUCCAGAAGCUCACCAAUGCGGCUGACAAUGCCACUGCUCGAGAGAAAUUAGGAAAUGCAGAGGCAAAUGGGAAGGAUGGGCAUUCGGAUGAGGAAGACCUCCUGAAGUAUAGGCCAAACCCAGAUAUGAUGGACACAGACUGGUCCUGAUGGUCAGUUAACGAAGCGGAGCACCUGAACUAGCAGUCACGUCUGCAAUAUACACACCAGCAAAACACUCCUGUAACACUAAACAGUUCAUGCAUAUCCUUGACUGAAGACGAUGUUGCAAAGGUUUCAGACAUCAGCUUUGGCGUUGACAAGAAACAAGAUGACGAGUACAAUGCUCCUGAUGAGUACAACACAGUGUAUAAGUUUGCUUUGUACUGCUUGAGAUCAUCUCUGGAAGGCGUUCAUAUUUUGACGACGAUGUGCUCCCAUAUUUUCCUUUCUGAAUACCAAAUUCUAUGUGUCCUCUUGUGUGGAAUCAAGUUCCUAAUUUAGCUAGAGCAAUACUUGAAAAGAGGAAUCACAAUUAGUUGUUUUUCAUGUGAUUGUAUAACAAUUUCUCAUAAAUGAAUAUAAUGCUGACUAAUUUACUGUUUG
Long non-coding RNA from Zea mays, 1538 nucleotides. RefSeq lists it as uncharacterized. The record is from RefSeq and is a predicted model, not a curated record. The transcript has 9 exons. NCBI's taxonomy places the organism in Eukaryota, Viridiplantae, Streptophyta, Magnoliopsida, Poales, Poaceae.